Molecule: ribosomal RNA, 301 nt
Filed under: uncultured bacterium
Lineage: Bacteria
Description: partial 16S ribosomal RNA
Rfam family: Bacterial small subunit ribosomal RNA
Source: RNAcentral
CAGUCGCCACGGGAAUACGUAGGUGGCAAGCGUUGUCCGGAAUUAUUGGGCGUAAAGGGCUCGCAGGCGGUUUCUUAAGUCUGAUGUGAAAGCCCCCGGCUCAACCGGGGAGGGUCAUUGGAAACUGGGAAACUUGAGUGCAGAAGAGGAGAGUGGAAUUCCACGUGUAGCGGUGAAAUGCGUAGAGAUGUGGAGGAACACCAGUGGCGAAGGCGACUCUCUGGUCUGUAACUGGCGCUGAGGAGCGAAAGCGUGGGGAGCGAACAGGAUUAGAUACCCCAGUAGUCCCUGUCUCUUAUAC